This 243-nucleotide unclassified non-coding RNA is filed under the name soil metagenome. RNAcentral describes it as "partial contains small subunit ribosomal RNA, internal transcribed spacer 1, and 5.8S ribosomal RNA". The record is from RNAcentral.
UAACCGUAGGUGAACCUGCGGUUGGAUCAUUAAUAAAAUUAAAUAGAAGAACUCCUAACAAGAGAUCUAUCUAUCACAUCUUGUGAACCAUUAUGUCUCUCGGUGUGUUAAUACGAAAGUUUUUUUAGUUAAAAACCUUUAGCACACCACGUAACUUUUAUAAACUUUGUUUAAACUUUAAGCCUAAAAAGAAAUCACAUAAAAAAGUAAAAACAACUUUUGACAACGGAUCUCUAGGCUCUC